Molecule: ribosomal RNA, 492 nt
Filed under: uncultured bacterium
Lineage: Bacteria
Description: partial 16S ribosomal RNA
Rfam family: Bacterial small subunit ribosomal RNA
Source: RNAcentral
AGUGAACGCUGGCGGUAGGCCUAACACAUGCAAGUCGAACGGCAGCACAGUAAGAGCUUGCUCUUACGGGUGGCGAGUGGCGGACGGGUGAGGAAUACAUCGGCAUCUACUUUUUCGGGGGGGAUAACGUAGGGAAACUUACGCUAAUACCGCAUACGACCUACGGGUGAAAGCAGGGGAGCUUCGGACCUUGCGCGAUUGAAAGAGCCGAUGUCGGAUUAGCUAGUUGGCGGGGUAAAGGCCCACCAAGGCGACGAUCCGUAGCUGGUCUGAGAGGAUGAUCAGCCACACUGGAACUGAGACACGGUCCAGACUCCUACGGGAGGCAGCAGUGGGGAAUAUUGGACAAUGGGCGCAAGCCUGAUCCAGCCAUACCGCGUGGGUGAAGAAGGCCUUCGGGUUGUAAAGCCCUUUUGUUGGGAAAGAAAAGCAGCAGGUUAAUCCCCCGCUGUUCUGACGGUACCCAAAGAAUAAGCACCGGCUAACUUCGUG